GGAAUAUUGGACAAUGGGCGCAAGCCUGAUCCAGCCAUGCCGCGUGUGUGAAGAAGGCCUUCGGGUUGUAAAGCACUUUCAGCGGGGAGGCAGGGGUUGUUGUUAAUAGCAACAAUCUUUGACGUUACCCGCAGAAGAAGCACCGGCUAACUCCGUGCCAGCAGCCGCGGUAAUACGUAGGGUGCGAGCGUUAAUCGGAAUUACUGGGCGUAAAGCGUGCGCAGGCGGCCUUUUAAGCCAGAUGUGAAAUCCCCGGGCUUAACCUGGGAAUUGCAUUUGGGACUGGAAGGCUAGAGUGUGGCAGAGGGGGGUGGAAUUUCCGGUGUAGCAGUGAAAUGCGUAGAUAUCGGAAGGAACACCGAUGGCGAAGGCAGCCCCCUGGGCUAACACUGACGCUCAGGCACGAAAGCGUGGGGAGCAAAC
RNAcentral lists this ribosomal RNA (423 nucleotides) under uncultured bacterium. RNAcentral's name for it is "bacterial SSU rRNA". It matches the Rfam family "Bacterial small subunit ribosomal RNA", at positions 358 to 773 of the family's 1533-position model. The record is from RNAcentral.